CAAUAGCGUAUAUUAAAGUUGUUGCGGUUAAAACGCUCGUAGUUGGAUUUCUGUUGAGGGCAGCCGGUCCGCACUUCGUGCGUGUAUCUGGUUUGACCUCGGCAUCCUCUCAAAAUACGUUUCUGCGCUUGAUUGCGUGGAGCGGAGUUUGAGACUUUUACUUUGAGGAAAUUAGAGUGUUCACGGCAGGCAAUCGCCUUGAAUAUAUUAGCAUGGAAUAAUAAUAUAGGAUCUUGGUUCUAUUUUGUUGGUUUCUAGAGCUAAGAUAAUGAUUAAUAGGGACAAUUGGGGGCAUUCGUAUUAACGCGUCAGAGGUGGAAUUCUUGGAUUGCGUUACGACGAACUACUGCGAAAGCAUUUGCCAAGGAUGCUUUCAUUGA
This 380-nucleotide ribosomal RNA is filed under the name uncultured eukaryote. Its description in RNAcentral is "partial 18S ribosomal RNA". It matches the Rfam family "Eukaryotic small subunit ribosomal RNA", at positions 592 to 976 of the family's 1831-position model. The record is from RNAcentral.